GUACACACCGCCCGUCGCUCCUACCGAUUGAAUGAAAAGGUGAAAAGAAGGGAAAUAAGGGUAGCAAUACCUUGAAAUAACGUCUUUGAACCAUUUCAUUAGAGGAAGGAGAAGUCGUAACAAGGUUUUCGUAGGUGACCUGCAGAAGGAUCA
Molecule: ribosomal RNA, 153 nt
Filed under: uncultured eukaryote
Lineage: Eukaryota
Description: partial small subunit ribosomal RNA
Rfam family: Eukaryotic small subunit ribosomal RNA
Source: RNAcentral